GAAAGAGGCAUGCCAGCAACGAAACCUGCUAACUUUCGUGUCUCCGGUUGGACUCCGGGGCUCAUUCA
This 68-nucleotide transfer RNA is filed under the name Pelates quadrilineatus (fourlined terapon). RNAcentral describes it as "tRNA-Ser". The record is from RNAcentral. Lineage: Eukaryota; Metazoa; Chordata; Actinopteri; Centrarchiformes; Terapontidae.